This 407-nucleotide ribosomal RNA is filed under the name uncultured bacterium. RNAcentral's name for it is "partial 16S ribosomal RNA". It matches the Rfam family "Bacterial small subunit ribosomal RNA", at positions 29 to 526 of the family's 1533-position model. The record is from RNAcentral.
AUUGAACGCUGGCGGCAGGCCUAACACAUGCAAGUCGAGCGGAGCGGCGGACGCGUGAGUGAUGCCUAGGAAUCGGCCUGGUAGUGGGGGAUAACGUCCGGAACCGGGCGCUAAUACCGCAUCCUAUCAGAUGCGCCUCGGUCGGAUUAGCUAGUUGGUGGGGUAAAGGCCUACCAAGGCGACGAUCCGUAACUGGUCUGAGAGGAUGAUCAGCCACACUGGAACUGAGACACGGUCCAGACUCCUACGGGAGGCAGCAGUGGGGAAUAGUGGACAAUGGGGGAAAGCCUGAUACAGCCAGGCCGCGUGUGUGAAGAAGGCCUUCGGAUUGUAAAGUACUUUAAGGGGGGGGGCGUUACCAGCAGAAGAAGCACCGGCUAACUUCGUGCCAGCAGCCGCGGUAAUUC